CCUUAAUUUAAGCUGGCGAAGAAUUUAUUUAGAAAUCUAAGCUGGACUUGUGAUGAAAUUUCUCACUGACGGAAUGGUUAUGGAUUGUCUUAUGAACGUUAUAAAGAGCAUUGGAGCUAAGGCGAUGACCUUAGUGGAAGUUGUGAAGUGUUUGAAUUUGAGAUUACCGCCCUAGUGGUGGAAUUGGGAAUGAUAUGGAGGCAUUGUGAUGCAAUACCGAAUGGUGAAUCAAAUAAUCACCUUUGGUGCGCGAGUUUGGAUGAUUCGUGGGUUUCCGUUACGGUCGGAAGGGAUGUUACCAUGGAUGUUGAUGGUAGAGCUGGUUCGUGCCAAAAAAGAUUUGAGUUGUGGGAUGUUG
RNAcentral lists this long non-coding RNA (358 nucleotides) under Ananas comosus (pineapple). RNAcentral describes it as "long non-coding RNA (ACOM_LNC023271)". The record is from RNAcentral. Lineage: Eukaryota; Viridiplantae; Streptophyta; Magnoliopsida; Poales; Bromeliaceae.